RNA transcript from Halichondria panicea, 1965 nucleotides. It is a transcript of the gene named ubiquilin-1-like, with no coding region annotated. The record is from RefSeq and is a predicted model, not a curated record. Lineage: Eukaryota; Metazoa; Porifera; Demospongiae; Suberitida; Halichondriidae. The transcript has 15 exons.
GUCACCAUUCACAUUAAUUAUUGCCAAGCUUCAAGAUGGCGGAAGAUAGCCAAGCUAAAGACGUACCUGUAACGACAGACUCGGGCAAAGAUGAAGACUCAAAGGUGCUCAACUUGAGCAUAAAGACCACUAAGAAGAAAGAAUCGAUUCAAGUGCCUGUGGAUUGUACUGUAAAGCAGUUAAAAGAGCUGUUGUGUAAACUUAUGGAUGCCCCCGUGCCACAGCAGUGCCUUAUCUUUGCCGGGAAGAUCCUCAAAGAAGAGGAGACCCUUGAGAAACAGGGGAUCAAAGAUGGUGUCACUAUUCACCUUGUGGUCCGCUCAAGCUCCUCCACUAAUAAGGCUGCUGGCAGUGGGAGUGGCUCCUCUCAGGCGCCCCCUGCUGCAACAACAGGGACCACCACCACCACCAGUACUGCUCCCCCUCCUCAACAAUCCACAGCUGUACCUGGCCCCUCCCCCUUUGGAAUGUUUGGAGCCCCCCAGGGAGACCUUCAACAGCAGAUGGCACAAGUGCAACAGCAACUCCAGAGCAACCCUGAGAUGAUGCAGCAGAUGAUGGAGAGCCCAAUGAUGCAGAACUUCCUCUCCAACCCUGAGGCACUGCAGUCUGUCCUCACCUCUAACCCACAGAUGCAACAGCUUAUGGAGCGUAACCCAGAGCUCUCUCACAUCCUCCACAAUCCUGAACUGAUGAGGCAGGCUCUUGAGAUGACACGCAACCCAGCGGCCAUGAGGGAACUCAUGAGGUCCCAGGACAGACAGCUCUCUAACAUCGAGAGCCUCCCUGGGGGGUUCAAUGCUCUGGCCAGGAUGUACACGGAGAUACAAGAGCCGAUGAUGGACGCAGCUCAGGAGUCACUUCAACAGCAGAUGCAGAACAACCCGUUCUCAGCUCUCUUCUCACAGCAGCAAGGUUCCCCGGAUCCUGGUGCCUCUGUACCUCAAGGCACUACCAACACUGACCCCUUACCCAAUCCAUGGGCUCCACCCACUGCCACACCUCCUGGAACUACAACCACCACCACUUCAGGCUCCAACACCAGACCAGCUACCACUGGAGGAGGGGCUGGCGGACCCCCCUCAAUGAUGAAUCCGGCCAUGAUGAGUCAGAUGAUGGGCGGGGCUGGAAUGGGAGCGCAUCCCCUAGCUCAAAACCCUGAACUUAUGGCUCAAAUGAUGCAGUCCCCAAUGUUUCAGCAGACGAUGCAGAGAAUGGCCAGCAAUCCUGAGAUGAUGGAACAGAUGAUUAGGAACAACCCAAUGUUUGCCGGCAACCCCCAGGCUACUGAGAUGGCCAGACAAGCAUCACAAAUGAUGGCUAACCCUGAGAUGAGGCAGAUGCUCACCAACCCUGAGGCAAUGCGAGCCAUGAUGCAAAUACAGCAGGGAAUGGCUACUCUACAGCAGACAGCACCAGGGCUACUCCGGCCUGCAGGAGGUGUGGGAAUGCCCACCACUACACCUACCACUAGCUCUGGGACCACACCCACUCCACAGCAGCAAGGGGGAGCCCCUAAUCCCUUACUACAGCAAAUGAUGGCUCAAGCAUUGGCCGGUGGUCAAGUUCCAGGGGGUCAAGGUCCAGUAGGUCAAGGUCCAGUAGAGAGUCAGCAGCUGGCACAAGCAGAGGUGCUGUAUCAGAGCCAGCUGGAGCAGCUUGCUAACAUGGGGUUCCACAACCGACAGGCCAACCUCAGAGCUCUUGUGGAGUCAGGAGGGGAUCUAAAUGCUGCAGUGAACAGACUAAUUCAGUGAAAUUAUUUAUCCAAAUUAACUCUUGUUGCUAAGAUACAAUUUGUACGUGUGACUAACAAUUACAUGCAUGCUGUGUAUCUUAUUUUGUUCGAUUGCUUGUUUUCAUGCGAUGUUCAUUGUUGAAAGUAUAAUUAUAAAUUAUUUUGAAUGUGCAGUUUAUAUGUGAGUCACAUGAUUUGAAGUUACAUGUAUAAUUGUAUUGCCUCUG